RNAcentral lists this long non-coding RNA (325 nucleotides) under Trifolium pratense (red clover). RNAcentral describes it as "long non-coding RNA (TPRA_LNC007712)". Lineage: Eukaryota; Viridiplantae; Streptophyta; Magnoliopsida; Fabales; Fabaceae. The record is from RNAcentral.
UCCAACCAUAAGAGUGCCACCUAUUACAUAGAUUAAGGAGAGGUUGCCACUUAGGAGAAAGAUCAUGAAAGAGAAACUUAUAAACAUAUAAAUAAUAGAUAUAAAUAAUAGAUAUAUAGAUAUCUCCAAAUUUUUUUAAGAAUUUAAUUUAUAUGCACCGUCGGUGUAAAGUUAUUUUGCACAUUCGUCCAAUAAUAUAACGACACAUCAUGUAUGGUAAUUAAAAACACAUGAAGUGUCACAUUCAUUAGGUGAUGUGGCAACGCGUUAUUGAAUGUAUGUGUAAAAAACUUUUACACCGACGGUGCACAACAAUUAAACUCUU